UUCGCCCUUAGAGUUUGAUCCUGGCUCAGGACGAACGCUGGCGGCGUGCCUAACACAUGCAAGUCGAGCGGGGAUUUGGGAGCUUGCUUCUGAAUCCCAGCGGCGGACGGGUGAGUAACGCGUGAGCAAUCUGCCUCAAACAGGGGGAUAACGCAUCGAAAGAUGUGCUAAUACCGCGUAAGACCACAGCACCGCAUGGUGCAGGGGUCAAAGGAGCAAUCCGGUUUGAGAUGAGCUCGCGUCCGAUUAGCUAGUUGGUGAGAUAACAGCCCACCAAGGCGACGAUCGGUAGCCGACCUGAGAGGGUGAUCGGCCACAUUGGAACUGAGACACGGUCCAGACUCCUACGGGAGGCAGCAGUGGGGAAUAUUGGGCAAUGGGCGAAAGCCUGACCCAGCAACGCCGCGUGAGGGAAGAAGGGUUUCGGCUCGUAAACCUCUGUCCUAUGGGACGAAUAGAUGACGGUACCAUAGGAGGAAGCCCCGGCUAACUACGUGCCAGCAGCCGCGGUAAUACGUAGGGGGCGAGCGUUGUCCGGAAUGAUUGGGCGUAAAGGGCGCGUAGGCGGCCCGUUAAGUCUGGAGUGAAAGUCCCGCUUUCAAGGUGGGAAUUGCUUUGGAUACUGAUGGGCUCGAGUGCAGGAGAGGAAAGCGGAAUUACCGGUGUAGCGGUGAAAUGCGUAGAGAUCGGUAGGAACACCAGUGGCGAAGGCGGCUUUCUGGACUGAAACUGACGCUGAGGCGCGAAAGCGUGGGGGGCAAACAGGAUUAGAUACCCUGGUAGUCCACGCGGUAAACGAUGAAUGCUAGGUGUAGGGGCGAAAGCUUCUGUGCCGCAGUUAACACAAUAAGCAUUCCACCUGGGGAGUACGGCCGCAAGGUUGAAACUCAAAGGAAUUGACGGGAGCCCGCACAAGCAGUGGAGUAUGUGGUUUAAUUCGACGCAACGCGAAGAACCUUACCAGGGCUUGACGUCCUAGGAAUCCGGAGUAAAGACCGGAGUGCCCUUCGGGGAAUCUAGAGACAGGUGGUGCAUGGUUGCCGUCUGCUCGUGUCGUGAGAUGUUGGGUUAAGUCCCGCAACGAGCGCAACCCUUACGGUUAGUUGCUACGCAAGAGCACUCUAACAGGACUGCCGUUGACAAAACGGAGGAAGGUGGGGAUGACGUCAAAUCAUCAUGCCCCUUACGCUCUGGGCUACACACGUACUACAAUGGCGCAAACAACGGGGAGCGAAAUCGCGAGAUGGAGCAAAUCCCAAAAAGGCGUCCCAGUUCAGAUUGCAGGCUGCAACUCGCCUGCAUGAAGUUGGAAUUGCUAGUAAUCGCGAAUCAGAAUGUCGCGGUGAAUACGUUCCCGGGCUUUGCACACACCGCCCGUCA
This 1380-nucleotide ribosomal RNA is filed under the name uncultured bacterium. RNAcentral describes it as "16S ribosomal RNA". It matches the Rfam family "Bacterial small subunit ribosomal RNA". The record is from RNAcentral.